UACAGAGGGUGCGAGCGUUAAUCGGAAUUACUGGGCGUAAAGCGUGCGUAGACGGUUAUUUAAGUCGGGUGUGAAAGCCCCGGGCUCAACCUGGGAAUUGCAUUCGAGACUGAAUAGCUAGGGUACGGUAGAGGGAAGCGGAAUUUCCGGUGUAGCGGUGAAAUGCGUAGAUAUCGGAAGGAACAUCAGUGGCGAAAGCGGCGCACUGGACCAUAACUGACGCUGAUGCGCGAAAGCUAGGGGAGCAAACAGG
RNAcentral lists this ribosomal RNA (253 nucleotides) under uncultured bacterium. RNAcentral describes it as "partial 16S ribosomal RNA". It matches the Rfam family "Bacterial small subunit ribosomal RNA", at positions 524 to 776 of the family's 1533-position model. The record is from RNAcentral.